This is a long non-coding RNA of Rhineura floridana, 503 nucleotides long. RefSeq lists it as uncharacterized. The record is from RefSeq and is a predicted model, not a curated record. Lineage: Eukaryota; Metazoa; Chordata; Lepidosauria; Squamata; Rhineuridae. The transcript is spliced from 2 exons.
GCUCAAGGCUAAAGGUUGCGAUUACCUAAAAGCAGAACUAGAGAAGUGUCCUGGCACAGAACCCAUCACGAUCACGCUGUCCAUGAAUGAGUCCCAUCUAGCCUUGCUACAUAAACUGCCACUGAUGAGAUUGGAAGGUAUAACCACUCACACGACGUAGAGCUUGUCUUGCAUCACAUUCGGCACCUCAAGAAACCUCCCAGGGCUCUCCUCCCAGGACACAUCGGACUCCUUUCCUCAGGUGCCUGCUCCGAGAGCUCCCUCUGAAGAAACGGUUAAGUGGCUGACCCUAAGAUGUCUUGAAUGGCUGCCAGGAGAUGGACAGUGGGGUUUAACAACAACAGUGCCUGAAUUUUUCAAGCCCUGGUUUUUGUUUGUUGUUGUUUGUGAUGUCUAUACCCAUAUCUGAACUCCAGGACAUAAUUAUGCUGCAGGUGUUACUACAGUAUGGUUUGAAAACGUCUCAUAAUUUAAAGAAUAAAACAAGUUUUUUGUAUCUCUAA